RNAcentral lists this ribosomal RNA (478 nucleotides) under uncultured bacterium. RNAcentral's name for it is "partial 16S ribosomal RNA". It matches the Rfam family "Bacterial small subunit ribosomal RNA", at positions 28 to 507 of the family's 1533-position model. The record is from RNAcentral.
GAUGAACGCUGGCGGCGUGCCUAACACAUGCAAGUCGAACGGAGUCCAGCCUUUAAGACCUUCGGGUCAAAGAGGGGAAGACUGAGUGGCGGACAGGUGAGUAACACGUGGGCAACCUGGCUCAUAGAGGGGGAUAACAGAGAGAAAUUUCUGCUAAUACCGCAUAAGCACACACUGCCGCAUGGCAGAGGGUGAAAAGAGAAUCGCUAUGAGAUGGACCCGCGUCUGAUUAGCCAGUUGGCAGGGUAAGAGCCCACCAAAGCGACGAUCAGUAGCCGAUCUGAGAGGAUGAACGGCCACAUUGGGACUGAGACACGGCCCAAACUCCUACGGGAGGCAGCAGUGGGGGAUAUUGCACAAUGGGGGGAACCCUGAUGCAGCGACGCCGCGUGAGUGAAGAAGUAUUUCGGUAUGUAAAGCUCUAUCAGCAGGGAAGAUAAUGACAGUACCUGAAUAAGAAGCCCCGGCUAACUACGUG